Molecule: ribosomal RNA, 459 nt
Filed under: uncultured bacterium
Lineage: Bacteria
Description: partial 16S ribosomal RNA
Rfam family: Bacterial small subunit ribosomal RNA
Source: RNAcentral
CCUACGGGAGGCAGCAGUGAGGAAUAUUGGUCAAUGGGCGCGAGCCUGAACCAGCCAAGUCGCGUGAGGGAAGACGGUCCUAUGGAUUGUAAACCUCUUUUGUCGGGGAGCAAAAGACGCCACGCGUGGCGUUCCGAGAGUACCCGAAGAAAAAGCAUCGGCUAACUCCGUGCCAGCAGCCGCGGUAAUACGGAGGAUGCGAGCGUUAUCCGGAUUUAUUGGGUUUAAAGGGUGCGCAGGCGGAAGAUCAAGUCAGCGGUAAAAUUGAGAGGCUCAACCUCUGCGAGCCGUUGAAACUGGGGUUCUUGAGUGAGUGAGAGGUAGGCGGAAUGCGUGGUGUAGCGGUGAAAUGCAUAGAUAUCACGCAGAACUCCGAUUGCGAAGGCAGCAUACCGGCGCUCAACUGACGCUCAUGCACGAAAGUGUGGGUAUCGAACAGGAUUAGAUACCCUGGUAGUC